UACAGCCAGACCACCCUGAACAUGCCUGAUCUCGUCUGAUCUCGGAAGCUAAGCAGGGUCAGGCCUGGUUUGUACUUGGAUGGG
Molecule: microRNA precursor, 84 nt
Filed under: Echinops telfairi (small Madagascar hedgehog)
Lineage: Eukaryota; Metazoa; Chordata; Mammalia; Afrosoricida; Tenrecidae
Source: RNAcentral